AUUGAACGCUGGCGGCAGGCCUAACACAUGCAAGUCGAACGGUAACAGGAAGCAGCUUGCUGCUUUGCUGACGAGUGGCGGACGGGUGAGUAAUGUCUGGGAAACUGCCUGAUGGAGGGGGAUAACUACUGGAAACGGUAGCUAAUACCGCAUAAUUUCGCAAGACCAAAGAGGGGGACCUUCGGGCCUCUUGCCAUCGGAUGUGCCCAGAUGGGAUUAGCUAGUAGGUGGGGUAAUGGCCCACCUAGGCGACGAUCCGUAGCUGGUCUGAGAGGAUGACAGCCGGCCUGGGAGGGUGACCGCCGACCUGGCGCCUGAGAGACGGAGCAGACGCGAAUGGUGGGCAGUGGUGGGGAGUCUGAUGCAAUCGUGCCAAGCGUAAGAAAGAGACGUUCGGGUUGGAAAGUACUUCCAGCGGUGGUGAAGGGAUUAAGGUUGUUACGUAUGCUCAGUGACGGUAAUCGGAAAAGAAGCACCGGCUAACUCCGUG
RNAcentral lists this ribosomal RNA (490 nucleotides) under uncultured bacterium. Its description in RNAcentral is "partial 16S ribosomal RNA". It matches the Rfam family "Bacterial small subunit ribosomal RNA", at positions 29 to 507 of the family's 1533-position model. The record is from RNAcentral.